Molecule: unclassified non-coding RNA, 215 nt
Filed under: Hevea brasiliensis (rubber tree)
Lineage: Eukaryota; Viridiplantae; Streptophyta; Magnoliopsida; Malpighiales; Euphorbiaceae
Source: RNAcentral
GACCACCAAAGGCAACAGGAGAAAAAAGCUGUACGAGUGACACCACCGGGUAAACAAAUAGAUAAGAAAAUCAUGAAUCACACCAGAACCGGUAAGUAGGGUAUAGCACGAGAUGGGUACUAGUAGUAGGAGGGAUUAUGGGCCCAACAUCAAGAACCAGCACAUCAAGGUAAGGGGCCUAAGUUCCAGUCAUUAUAACUGCUGAUGAACUGUUG